Molecule: long non-coding RNA, 728 nt
Organism: Oncorhynchus keta (chum salmon)
Lineage: Eukaryota; Metazoa; Chordata; Actinopteri; Salmoniformes; Salmonidae
Exons: 3
Source: RefSeq, a predicted model, not a curated record
AUUCCACCAGUUACUCUGUGUCAUUUGGAAGGGCGGAGAGCCAUGUCUGCACUUACCCGAGUCCUCCGACAGUGACAGGUUUUCAAGCUUCUGCUUGUUGGCUUUCGCUUGGAUGAUGACCAAGAGAUCACCAACUGGGACAAGGCAGGCGUUCGUAGCUGUGUAUAAUUAAAUAGAUGCUCUGUAUUUCUAUGGACUGAUGAUUAGUAGGAAUUAAGAGUAAAAUGGUGUGGAAUCAUAAAUGGAGAACGUGGUGGAAGCGGAGUUGAGUUGGGAAAGAAACAGGUUGCAACUGUAUGACUGGUAACAAGGAUUGACCAACACCAACUGUAUGACUGGUAACAAGGAUUGACCAACACCAACUGUAUGACUGGUAACAAGGAUUGACCAACACCAACUGUAUGACUGGUAACAAGGAUUGACCAACACCAACUGUAUGACUGGUAACAAGGAUUGACCAACACCAACUGUAUGACUGGUAACAAGGAUUGACCAACACCAACUGUAUGACUGGUAACAAGGAUUGACCAACACCAACUGUAUGACUGGUAACAAGGAUUGACCAACACCAACUGUAUGACUGGUAACAAGGAUUGAUGAAAACCAACUGUAUGACUGGUAACAAGGAUUGACCAACACCAAUGCAGACUGAUUCAUAUUUAUGAAGAAAGGUCCAUACAUUUUAUGACAAGAGCUAUUAUUGUAAGUUAAGAGUAAAUCCAAUACAG